This 990-nucleotide ribosomal RNA is filed under the name Triticum aestivum (bread wheat). RNAcentral describes it as "partial small subunit ribosomal RNA". Lineage: Eukaryota; Viridiplantae; Streptophyta; Magnoliopsida; Poales; Poaceae. The record is from RNAcentral.
AUGGCCGCUACAAACCCUUCCUACUACCAGAGUGGUGCUUGCCAGGAAAUCAGACACAAGGAGCAUCUCUUCCACUUAUACAUGAACCAGGUAUUUGAUGGUAAACUAGUUACCAACGCCAACCAACUCGCUAUUGUUACUCCAGGUCUUCCCAAUUCGUUUGGUGUCACCAUUGCAAACGACUGGACCAUACUUGAUGGUCUGGGCGCGGAUGCAAACCUUGUGGCACGUGCUCGUGGCAUGCACAUGGGUGUGGGUAAAGCCGACAUGAGCUGGUUAUUCUGUCACACUAUAUUGUUUGCUGAUACCAGUAGGUUUAAGGGAUCCAGCCUAAAGGUUCUUGGAGAUUUUGUAGGCAAUUGUAGGUGGGACCGGAGAGUUCGCAUAUGCAGAGUAUUCGUCGCCAAAGUAAUCCCAAAUGUACCACCUACUGGUGGGCGUACCUGGGAGCUCCGUAUUAGUGCUUUCAUCUACAAAUACGGUGACUUGGAUUUACGCAAAUGCACCUUUUCAAUAUCAUUGUUUCUAUGUCGCUUGAUCACCUAUGCCCAGACCCCAGUCACCAAGAUGGGACCUUGGGGUGCAGAUGGAGGGACAGCCUUUGACAUCACGGAGCUGCCUCGUUCUCUUCAAACCGUGACAAUUCGAUGUGGCGACGUUAUUAACUCAAUUGGGUUUUCCUACACCGACCAAGCUGGUCAGAAGAAAAUUGCUGGACCAUGGGGUGGUGAUGGUGCACUUAGUGUGACGAUCACACUUGCUCCUUCCGAGUUCAUCAAGCAAGUUCAGGGAACAACCGGUGUAGUGGGAGGAGUGACUGUUGUUACAUCACUUACUUUGGUCAGCAGUGUUACAACGUAUGGGCCUUUUGGGAAAGCAAAUGGCACUCCUUUUAGCAGCCAGGUUCCAGAUAGUAACAGUAUCGGGGGGUUCUAUGCACGUGCUGGGGGAUCUUUUAAUGCACUUGGAGUUUACGCCUGCCCAAUUUAG